GCGUCGGAACGUACCGAGUAAUGGGGGAUAACGUGGCGAAAGUCACGCUAAUACCGCAUACGCCCCGAGGGGGAAAGCAGGGGAUCGCAAGACCUUGCGUUAUUCGAGCGGCCGACGUCUGAUUAGCUAGUUGGUAGGGUAAAGGCCUACCAAGGCGACGAUCAGUAGCGGGUCUGAGAGGAUGAUCCGCCACACUGGGACUGAGACACGGCCCAGACUCCUACGGGAGGCAGCAGUGGGGAAUUUUGGACAAUGGGGGCAACCCUGAUCCAGCCAUUCCGCGUGAGUGAAGAAGGCCUUCGGGUUGUAAAGCUCUUUCAGCCGGAAAGAAACGGUACGCUCUAACAUAGCGUGCUAAUGACGGUACCGGCAGAAGAAGCACCGGCUAACUACGUGCCAGCAGCCGCGGUAAUACGUAGGGUGCGAGCGUUAAUCGGAAUUACUGGGCGUAAAGCGUGCGCAGGCGGAUUAUUAAGCAAGACGUGAAAGCCCCGGGCUUAACCUGGGAAUGGCGUUUUGAACUGGUAGUCUAGAGUGUGUCAGAGGGGGGUGGAAUUCCACGUGUAGCAGUGAAAUGCGUAGAUAUGUGGAGGAACACCAAUGGCGAAGGCAGCCCCCUGGGAUAACACUGACGCUCAUGUACGAAAGCGUGGGUAGCAAACAGGAUUAGAUACCCUGGUAGUCCACGCCCUAAACGAUGUCAACUGGUUGUUGGGGGAGUGAAAUCCCUUAGUAACGAAGCUAACGCGUGAAGUUGACCGCCUGGGGAGUACGGUCGCAAGAUUAAAACUCAAAGGAAUUGACGGGGACCCGCACAGCGGUGGAUGAUGUGAUUAAUUCGAUGCACGCGAAAACCUUACCUACCCUUGACAUGUCCAGACCUGCAGAGAUGCGGGGUGCCGAAAGGAUGUACACAGUGCUGCAUGCUGUCGUCAGC
Molecule: ribosomal RNA, 937 nt
Filed under: Thiobacillus sp. 100B-B7
Lineage: Bacteria; Pseudomonadati; Pseudomonadota; Betaproteobacteria; Nitrosomonadales; Thiobacillaceae
Description: bacterial SSU rRNA
Rfam family: Bacterial small subunit ribosomal RNA
Source: RNAcentral